CAAAGCAAUUGAAAAUCAAGGAUUAGCCAAGAAAAAGCAGACAGAACAAUCUUCACAAUCCUUAGAUGGUCAGACUCCCUCUACUAUCAGCAGCAGCAACCAAGACAGUCUCAUUCUGUAGCCAAGGACAUAGGAGCACCACAAGUACUUUGUACAGCAUCUCUUGACAGCACCAUCCUUUGCCUCCGAGUUCCAAUGAACGUGGUACUGCUUUGGGAAUCAAGUGCUAAGGGUGAAAACCUAUGCAACUGGAAAGAAACUUCUGCCACCAACAUGCA
This 278-nucleotide long non-coding RNA is filed under the name Cyanistes caeruleus (blue tit). RNAcentral describes it as "lncRNA (ENSCCEG00000012051.1)". The record is from RNAcentral. Lineage: Eukaryota; Metazoa; Chordata; Aves; Passeriformes; Paridae.